Molecule: ribosomal RNA, 726 nt
Filed under: Acinetobacter johnsonii
Lineage: Bacteria; Pseudomonadati; Pseudomonadota; Gammaproteobacteria; Moraxellales; Moraxellaceae
Description: bacterial SSU rRNA
Rfam family: Bacterial small subunit ribosomal RNA
Source: RNAcentral
UACUCGCAGAAUAAGCACCGGCUAACUCUGUGCCAGCAGCCGCGGUAAUACAGAGGGUGCGAGCGUUAAUCGGAUUUACUGGGCGUAAAGCGUGCGUAGGCGGCUUUUUAAGUCGGAUGUGAAAUCCCUGAGCUUAACUUAGGAAUUGCAUUCGAUACUGGGAAGCUAGAGUAUGGGAGAGGAUGGUAGAAUUCCAGGUGUAGCGGUGAAAUGCGUAGAGAUCUGGAGGAAUACCGAUGGCGAAGGCAGCCAUCUGGCCUAAUACUGACGCUGAGGUACGAAAGCAUGGGGAGCAAACAGGAUUAGAUACCCUGGUAGUCCAUGCCGUAAACGAUGUCUACUAGCCGUUGGGGCCUUUGAGGCUUUAGUGGCGCAGCUAACGCGAUAAGUAGACCGCCUGGGGAGUACGGUCGCAAGACUAAAACUCAAAUGAAUUGACGGGGGCCCGCACAAGCGGUGGAGCAUGUGGUUUAAUUCGAUGCAACGCGAAGAACCUUACCUGGUCUUGACAUAGUAAGAACUUUCCAGAGAUGGAUUGGUGCCUUCGGGAACUUACAUACAGGUGCUGCAUGGCUGUCGUCAGCUCGUGUCGUGAGAUGUUGGGUUAAGUCCCGCAACGAGCGCAACCCUUUUCCUUAUUUGCCAGCGGGUUAAGCCGGGAACUUUAAGGAUACUGCCAGUGACAAACUGGAGGAAGGCGGGGACGACGUCAAGUCAUCAUGGCCC